UUAUCGAAAUUCCAAAGGUCUCGGAAGGGGAAAGGAGGAGCGGACCGUCGCACGUCCCCUCUUUCUGGACCCCUCCGAGGCUUCGACCCUUUCGACACCUGUGUGCACUCGCUGUAGGUCCCUCGGGAUCUACGUCUCCUUUCGAACUCGCAUGUCUACAGAACGUGUAUCCAUCGUGUCCCGGCCUCGACCCUCAGGGUCCUGCGUCGGCGACCGAGAGACCCAUCGUACAACUUUCAGCAACGGAUCUCUUGGCUCUCGCAUCGAUGAAGAACGCAGCGAAUCGCGAUAAGUAAUGUGAAUUGCAGAUUUUCCGUGAAUCAUCGAAUCUUUGAACGCACCUUGCGCUCCUCGGUAUUCCGAGGAGCAUGCCUGUUUGAGUGUCAUCGAAACCUCGGACCGAGCCUUCGACCCCUCCGUCGAAGGGCCAUGGUCUGGAUCAUGGGAGUCUGUGGGCGAGCUUCGUGCUCCGUCCGCUCUCCUCAAAAGCAUUAGCCGUGGGCGAAACGAGACUUGCAUGGCAACGGCCUCUUCGACGUCGUAACGAUCGUCGUGGGGGCUGGAAGUGCAUGGCUCGACGGGUCCCAUGCUUCCCUAGUCUCGCUUGCGAGCCCGUUCGCCGGACGGGCCCGGCAUGCCUCAUCGAACCUUGACCUCAAAUCAGGUAGGACUACCCGCCGAACUUAAGCAUAUCAAUAAG
RNAcentral lists this ribosomal RNA (700 nucleotides) under Scleroderma sp. Hayward S13O. RNAcentral describes it as "eukaryotic LSU rRNA". The stretch from base 232 to 386 matches the Rfam family "5.8S ribosomal RNA". Lineage: Eukaryota; Fungi; Basidiomycota; Agaricomycetes; Boletales; Sclerodermataceae. The record is from RNAcentral.